CUCGCGAUUGCUGCGGAUGCCCUAAGUGUUCUCCAGAACCUCCUCUACCCGGAUCGGAACGAAUAUCGCAACCGGACCGACUACUGUCAAACUAUUAGUUGUCAGUUUGAAUCUAUCCGGUUUCCCUUCGAAUUCUAUUGGAUUUUCCUGACCAUUUCUCCGCUGCCACAAUGACAGAUAUCGAAAUCGAUCAGUUUAGUUUUCGAUUCGAAUUCUGUCAGUUUGUCUUGAGGGACAAUCGUUUGAAAAACGAUCGGUUUUGUUUGUCGCACACGCAGCGUGCAAUUAGGAAAAAAAAUUCAACUGAAACAGUCAGGAAACAACGGUGCGGAGGCCAAAUCACAAGGGUUAGUUCCUGCCGGACGUGUCUUCAAUUUUAUCGAGGAGUCGACAUGCAAGGGAGCAAUCCAUUUCUAAAACAGCUGGAGGACUUUACUUGAACAGGAUUCGCGGCAAGCGUUCCAGGAGGUCCUACGAAGCUAUUAACAAUAUUUGCAUUCCGUCAAUCAACAGAGUACCGAUCAGCAAAAUAUCAUUGCUUUCUCCUAUCAAUUGUCGAAUUUAAUAUCAGGGAGUGUAAUUGUCAGAGCUAAUGGGGUACAGAUCCCAGGAACACAGCGAGACCACCGUGCCUUUGGAUCAUGUUUACGAAGAUGCUCGCCUCGAUCAACUCUUUUGCCUACGGUGGUAAUCCGAUUCACAACGGACAAGCAACGACUGUGGUUUAUGUAGCUCUCCAGCUAUGUUUUACUCUGAGCCGAAACUACCUUCUGACGGAGCAGACGCAAUGUGUGGCUACCUAUGAACAUUUACACCACAUGAAUGAGGACAUUGCUCAGGACUUUCUGACGGACACGAUGCGAGGAAUCAUUUCCAAGAAUCAGUCCAUCAUCGAGAUGAUUUCUUCGUUGUCCAAUCUUCAGGCAGAAAUAACAACCCUCGGAGAAAUGUUAAGCGAGCUAAACCAGUACAUGCAGUGCGUCGUGAUGAGUAUUCCUUCGGCCUGAAACGGAAGGUUUACUCCCUGGGAGAGUGGUAUCAACUGCAGGCGGUUUCUAUUUUAAACUGCACUCCCUGUUUCGUGAACUGUUGAGCAAACAUGCCGGUAUGAUGCAGAUGAUUUACGACGAGGCGCAAUCAUAUCGGAAUAAUCGACACGUGAAAGUUUUUUUUACCUGUUGAGCCAUUACGAUAUCAACAUACAAUCGAUGGCAUCCCGGAAUUGGCAGCGUGCUGCCUUCGAUGCGUUCGCGACUCAGGUGCUGCCUAACUUCGCGUUUGCCUUCGAUGGCAACAGCCGAUGCCUAUUCAGUCCAUCGGGUUCCGGCAGAUUACCAUAAGCAGGAUGUUAAGGUUUCCAACGGGGGUCGGGAAGUAACCUUCACAGUUGAGUUGGAGAAAGCGGGAUUGAUUUGGGAUCCCUCAAAAACUAUCCUCAAAACAAAAAUUUGGAUAAAACAAUGGCCACCAUCCAAUGUCUAGAUGUUGUGCUUGCUACAGCCUACGAGAAGAACAACUAUUUCGUAAAAUUCAAACGAACAGUUUACAUGAUUCCGAAAUCAUUCGCUCUGGUACGAACUGUUCCAAUAUUCCAUUCUUGGAUCCGUACUUAUUUGGACAUUGAUGUGUCGCAAAAAGCUUUCCCCAGUGGAGGUGGAAUAUUGAAAAUUCUAGGUGAUCUGACUUGAAUCAACAAUCUAAAUGACCCACUUCAACAUUGGGCGAAACUAAAACUCAACAAUCAUCUGAAAUGCUUGGAGAUCUUGUAUCAAGGACCGGAUGGAAUUCAAAAACUAACCGCCUUCGGGGUCAGGCCAAUCAGCAGAAUUUCAAAAAUCAAGAUGGCACGGAGACGACGGUGGCACAAUAUUUCCAACAAAGAGGAAAGCUUUUGCGAUAUCGCAAUUUUCCGAUAAUGCACGUUGAUAGCAGCGUCAAGAAUGUGAUGCUCCCAAUGAAGCAGUGGCCUGAUCCAAGAUGCCAAGCGCGCUCAGUAAAAAAACAUCCAGAUAGAUGUACACAAUUCAUCAUUAAAAAAUCCGCAACGGACAUUGGAAAAAUAAUGGAAAUUUUUGAUCAAAUCGAAUACAAUUAAUCGGAAACUGUCAACGAGUUUGGUUUGAAGGUUGGGACUAAUUUCGAAACAAUUGAUGGUUGGAUUAUUCAUCCUCUUGGGCUAAUGGACGCCAACAAAAGUGUGGUCAAACCGAGGCGUAUAGAGAGGGAAUGAAUAAAAUCAUGGUCCUAAGUACAGAUAUUACAAAAAAGAACCGGCCAUUCUGAAUUAAGAUCAACGAACAUCGCUAUAUCAGGAACAGGAAUUUGGUAACUGUAUUUUCCAAAUGACCGGCAAGCAAGGAAUUUCCAUGUCACCAUUCAAUAUGAAAACACAUUACAAACAACCGAAUGGAGACCAACGCAAUGGACGAGAGAUCGGACGCUUGACCUAACACUUGAGGAUGUCAAAAAAGAAAAAUUGGAUCUAGUUUUCGUUAUUGUUCCGAAUAUAUGCCAGAGCUAAGCAGAAGCAGAAUUAAGUCUGGGCAUUCUAACACAAUGCAUUAAAUCGAAUACAAUAUUUAGGAUGCAAACGGAUGCUAGCAGCAUCGCCAAUAUUUGGCUCAAGAUCAGCGUCAAAACAAAUGGCAGCAAUCACGUCAUUGCACCUGGAAACAAACCUCCAAUGAUCUCUCCAAAAGUAAUGUUCAUUGGAGCUGACCUUUCACAUCCAUCGCCGGACCAGUCAAAUAUAUAUAUAUCAAGUGUCGUUGGUGUAGCAGCCAGCUACGAUCUGGAAUGAUCUGCAAUCUAGAACACAUAGUCGAGCCGUCGAGCGUCAGCUGCGUCAGUUCCAUAAAUGCAUUGCCUGAGUUCCUAAUGUACUCUCGGGGUGGGGUUUCCGACACGGAUAAUUCAGAGAAGUACUAUGCAGUAAACUGAGGGUCAUUCAGGCGGCUUUCGUAAGUUUGGCCAAAAGUACGCACCGAAAAUCACCUUCAUAGUGGUCCAGAAACGACAUCAUACACGAUUUCUCCCGGCCGACAGAUGCCCAACCGAGGUACGAAUCCAAAAUUCAGAAAAAGCAGGAAGUUACGUUCAGUCAUGCUGGUGGUCAGGUGAACGAAUCGGAAGAAGCCGCCACAAUCACUCCCUCAUCAUUGUCGAAUACGAGAAUUCCGGUCGGAUUUACCUUGCCUGAAUCAUCGACGUGGCAUAGAAGUUGUCCUGUUGACGAUCACCGUUUUUUUUUCCUAUGUGAGGAACGUCGCUGAGAAAGGGAAGCCCAUCGACCUCAAGCUCUCAUUCAUGGAUCUCUUGAAAGUGAGCUCGUUCGUGAAGAUCCUUUCGCUACAGGAAUCCGACCUCGGGAUCAUCAGCGCCAACGUCUUCGAAGGAACGAACCUCGUCGAUACGCUAAACAAACUAGCAAGAAUGAUGCAAUCCAACAUCACCCACUGGCACCACAUCAGGACGCUCAUAUCCCGCAAUUCAUGGACAUAAUUAUUGUUUUCAAAUAAAGAUACAAAGUGAAA
Long non-coding RNA from Uranotaenia lowii, 3533 nucleotides. RefSeq lists it as uncharacterized. The record is from RefSeq and is a predicted model, not a curated record. The transcript has 6 exons. Lineage: Eukaryota; Metazoa; Arthropoda; Insecta; Diptera; Culicidae.